AUUGAACGCUGGCGGCAGGCUUAACACAUGCAAGUCGAGCGGAGCGAGGGUGCUUGCACCUUAGCUUAGCGGCGGACGGGUGAGUAAUGCUUAGGAAUCUGCCUAUUAGUGGGGGACAACAUUCCGAAAGGAAUGCUAAUACCGCAUACGCCCUACGGGGGAAAGCAGGGGAUCUUCGGACCUUGCGCUAAUAGAUGAGCCUAAGUCGGAUUAGCUAGUUGGUGGGGUAAAGGCCUACCAAGGCGACGAUUUGUAGCGGGUCUGAGAGGGUGAUCCGCCACACUGGGACUGAGACACGGCCCAGACUCCUACGGGAGGCAGCAGUGGGGAAUAUUGGACAAUGGGCGGAAGCCUGAUCCAGCCAUGCCGCGUGUGUGAAGAAGGCCUUUUGGUUGUAAAGCACUUUAAGCGAGGAGGAGGCUACUUAGAUUAAUACUCUGGGAUAGUGGACGUUACUCGCAGAAUAAGCACCGGCUAACUCUGUGCCAGCAGCCGCGGUAA
This 501-nucleotide ribosomal RNA is filed under the name uncultured bacterium. Its description in RNAcentral is "partial 16S ribosomal RNA". It matches the Rfam family "Bacterial small subunit ribosomal RNA", at positions 30 to 523 of the family's 1533-position model. The record is from RNAcentral.